Molecule: ribosomal RNA, 927 nt
Filed under: Bacillus sp. (in: firmicutes)
Lineage: Bacteria; Bacillati; Bacillota; Bacilli; Caryophanales; Bacillaceae
Description: bacterial SSU rRNA
Rfam family: Bacterial small subunit ribosomal RNA
Source: RNAcentral
AGCGGCGGACGGGUGAGUAACACGUGGGCAACCUGCCUUUCAGACUGGGAUAACCCCGGGAAACCGGGGCUAAUACCGGAUAACCAGCCGGUUCGCAUGAACCGGCUGUAAAAGAGGGGAGUUUUCUCCUCUCACUGAAAGAUGGGCCCGCGGCGCAUUAGCUAGUUGGUAAGGUAGUGGCUUACCAAGGCGACGAUGCGUAGCCGACCUGAGAGGGUGAUCGGCCACACUGGAACUGAGACACGGUCCAGACUCCUACGGGAGGCAGCAGUAGGGAAUCAUCCGCAAUGGGCGAAAGCCUGACGGUGCAACGCCGCGUGAACGACGAAGGUUUUCGGAUCGUAAAGUUCUGUUGUGAGGGAAGAACACGUGCCGGUCAAACAGGCCGGCACCUUGACGGUACCUCACGAGAAAGCCCCGGCUAACUACGUGCCAGCAGCCGCGGUAAUACGUAGGGGGCAAGCGUUGUCCGGAAUUAUUGGGCGUAAAGCGCGCGCAGGCGGUCUUGUAAGUCUGAUGUGAAAGCCCACGGCUCAACCGUGGAGGGUCAUUGGAAACUGCAGGACUUGAGUGUAGGAGAGGAAAGUGGAAUUCCACGUGUAGCGGUGAAAUGCGUAGAUAUGUGGAGGAACACCAGUGGCGAAGGCGACUUUCUGGCCUACAACUGACGCUGAGGCGCGAAAGCGUGGGGAGCAAACAGGAUUAGAUACCCUGGUAGUCCACGCCGUAAACGAUGAGUGCUAGGUGUUAGGGGUUUCGAUGCCCUUAGUGCCGAAGUUAACACAUUAAGCACUCCGCCUGGGGAGUACGGCCGCAAGGCUGAAACUCAAAGGAAUUGACGGGGGCCCGCACAAGCAGUGGAGCAUGUGGUUUAAUUCGACGCAACGCGAAGAACCUUACCAGGUCUUGACAUCCGUUGACCGCUCU